Molecule: ribosomal RNA, 703 nt
Filed under: Lactococcus sp. HXF0055
Lineage: Bacteria; Bacillati; Bacillota; Bacilli; Lactobacillales; Streptococcaceae
Description: bacterial SSU rRNA
Rfam family: Bacterial small subunit ribosomal RNA
Source: RNAcentral
UUGGUACUUGUACCGACUGGAUGAGCAGCGAACGGGUGAGUAACGCGUGGGGAAUCUGCCUUUGAGCGGGGGACAACAUUUGGAAACGAAUGCUAAUACCGCAUAAAAACUUUAAACACAAGUUUUAAGUUUGAAAGAUGCAAUUGCAUCACUCAAAGAUGAUCCCGCGUUGUAUUAGCUAGUUGGUGAGGUAAAGGCUCACCAAGGCGAUGAUACAUAGCCGACCUGAGAGGGUGAUCGGCCACAUUGGGACUGAGACACGGCCCAAACUCCUACGGGAGGCAGCAGUAGGGAAUCUUCGGCAAUGGACGAAAGUCUGACCGAGCAACGCCGCGUGAGUGAAGAAGGUUUUCGGAUCGUAAAACUCUGUUGGUAGAGAAGAACGUUGGUGAGAGUGGAAAGCUCAUCAAGUGACGGUAACUACCCAGAAAGGGACGGCUAACUACGUGCCAGCAGCCGCGGUAAUACGUAGGUCCCGAGCGUUGUCCGGAUUUAUUGGGCGUAAAGCGAGCGCAGGUGGUUUAUUAAGUCUGGUGUAAAAGGCAGUGGCUCAACCAUUGUAUGCAUUGGAAACUGGUAGACUUGAGUGCAGGAGAGGAGAGUGGAAUUCCAUGUGUAGCGGUGAAAUGCGUAGAUAUAUGGAGGAACACCGGUGGCGAAAGCGGCUCUCUGGCCUGUAACUGACACUGAGGCUCGAAAGCGU